This 404-nucleotide ribosomal RNA is filed under the name uncultured prokaryote. RNAcentral's name for it is "bacterial SSU rRNA". It matches the Rfam family "Bacterial small subunit ribosomal RNA", at positions 355 to 774 of the family's 1533-position model. The record is from RNAcentral.
UGAAGAAUAUUGGGCAAUGGGGGAAACCCUGACCCAGCAACGCCGCGUGAGGGAAGAAGGUUCUCGGAUUGUAAACCUCUGUCCCAUGGGAAGAAACAAAUGACGGUACCAUGGGAGGAAGCCCCGGCUAACUACGUGCCAGCAGCCGCGGUAAUACGUAGGGGGCUAGCGUUAUCCGGAAUUACUGGGCGUAAAGGGUGCGUAGGUGGUUUCUUAAGUCAGAGGUGAAAGGCUACGGCUCAACCGUAGUAAGCCUUUGAAACUGGGAAACUUGAGUGCAGGAGAGGAGAGUGGAAUUCCUAGUGUAGCGGUGAAAUGCGUAGAUAUUAGGAGGAACACCAGUUGCGAAGGCGGCUCUCUGGACUGUAACUGACACUGAGGCACGAAAGCGUGGGGAGCAAACA